GUGUUCCUGUUGUCAAUAACCCCCACCACAUUCUUUCAUACGCAUUUAAAAUGCUGCGCACUAGAAACGGUAAAUUAUUUCUACACUUAAAUGGUUAUGUUGGUGAGAAUUUGUUUGCGGAGGAGGAUGAAGUGGGAACAGGAAAUAGAAUUACGGCGGGAUAUUUGAAAUAUCAAUUGUUGAUAUUUUUAUAUAUUGUUUAAAAAUAACAACAGUUGAAAAUUUUUUUCAUUUAUCAAUAACAUUGAAGUUCUCCAUAUUUAUUAAAUAUCAAUUGCGAAAAUUUUCAAUAUUUUAUACUAUUGAAAUGUAACUAUAUUACUGGAUAUUUCGCUUUUGGGAUAAUUUAUAUUUACGACAAGCUUCUGGACAAUGACGUUCUAAAUAUCGACGUUGGGAAAAUGCUUUUAAACAAAUUCCACACUUCCAUUCCCACUGAUGAUGAUUUCUCGUUCUUUGAUGAGCCCUCAGAACUCACCGAUCGGCGAAGGAUUUAUUGCAAACGGGACAUUCGAAGGGACGUUCUCCAGUGUGAAGUCGUAAAUGUCCUUUUAACACCCAAGGACGAUCAAAACUUUUAUUACAAAAUGGACAACAAUGCAUGACUUUAU
Long non-coding RNA from Leptopilina heterotoma, 611 nucleotides. RefSeq lists it as uncharacterized. Lineage: Eukaryota; Metazoa; Arthropoda; Insecta; Hymenoptera; Figitidae. The record is from RefSeq and is a predicted model, not a curated record. The transcript is spliced from 4 exons.